Molecule: long non-coding RNA, 1673 nt
Filed under: Numida meleagris (helmeted guineafowl)
Lineage: Eukaryota; Metazoa; Chordata; Aves; Galliformes; Numididae
Description: lncRNA (ENSNMEG00000000422.1)
Source: RNAcentral
CCAAAAUGGCACUCUGUAUUUAAGGCUAAGGUGUGGUGAAAUCCAGAGAAAGAAAACAUGAGAGAAGCUGGAGGAUAUUCAGAGCUGGAGAUGCCAGAAAAUGUGCAUUUUCAGAGCUCAAGGUGCACGUAGGUGCAAAGGAAGCCCUGUGGCUCCAUGUGUCAGUGGGACUGGGAGCAGGUCCUGAGCUGCUAGAAGCCACUGUCUGAUGUUUGGACAUCUAUCCUUGAGUGUCUUACAAGUUCCCUUUUUUCAGAAAGUAACGACCAUCAAACCUCCCAGUAGGAGGUUCCUGCAUCGGAGAGGUAUAACCAAGCAACCUUUAGGACUUAAGCCCAACUCUGUAUUUUCUAUUCCAGAAGCACACUGGAUGAGGCUCUAGCUCUUUACAACUUUGAUCCAGAAACCCCAGUGGGGAUAUUAUUGAAAACAUCAGUGCAGACAGGUUCUGGCCCUGCCCUCAUAAGAGGAAAAAGCCCUUUCGCAGUUGAGGUCUUAUUAUAUUAAGUUAAAAAUUUAUAGCAUUUAACUAGGCUGUAACCAGUUAAUGUGACUCAGGAAAGGCUGUAAUGUGGAUGGAGGCAUUACCACUUUGCCUCACUGCAGAAGUUACUGUUUUUCCAGACCUCACAUGUGAGAGGAGCCCAGUUAAAGCACGUCUAGCAAUUAGGCUGUGAGGUCACCUGAUUAAGUGAGGGGCAUCAGCAGGGUUUCAGGCUGACUGACUUCAGCUGGGCUGUGGCUAACAGCCUGAAACAUUUCUUUACCAGUGCUGUUGGGCUGAGCUCCUUCCCUACGACUUAUCAGCACCAGCAUUUCAGUAAAGCUAUGAGCGGCAGCUCUUACUGCCUGGGAACAAACUCAUGCGGCCCAGUCAGGAGGAUGGCAGCUCUACACAACCGCAGGGAGUUCCUCUGGGGCCCAGUCCGAAGCACCGGUCUGGCAGCUGCGACGUACCAAUGCUUCCCGCUCCCGUGCUGUGUGAAGCAAGAGCAAAGCACUGCUCGUGCCCCAGGGGCAUCUGAAGUCAAGAAGAAGGCAGAAUGCAGGAGCACGUCACUCACAAGAGGGUGGAAGGAGCAGCACUGGUAGUCAGAUGGGUGAAAAAGAACUCUGCUUCAUAUCUGAACAAAAUCGUAGCUCCUCCACUUGAUUUCUGCAUGCAAACAUCAUUUGUGUGAGGAUGGACUGCUCCAGCUGUCCGUGCUGAGCUGCAGCCGAGGGCAGGGAUUGCUGCCCAUUGCUGUUACUGGGGUGUGUGUUUGUUACGCGUAGCCAGAUAUCUGCAGCCAGCCGGACCUGACGUGCCUCAGCGACUCUUAGAAGCAUGUUUUCUCCCCACUUGCACGAAUGUUUCUUCUGUUGUUACACAGUAUCUAACAUAAGUAAUAUUUCAUCUAAGAGGAGCGUGAUUUCUUCCAGACUUCCACGUGGACCUUGGAGCGUGCAGCUCUGCCAGCUGUGGGCUUCGUGCUGAUCUCAGGGUGCUUUUGUGAGCUUACGAACUGCAAUGUCAGGGUACAGCAGGAGCAAAUAUGCUGUCACUGUGGGUGCAGGUGCCGAUUUGCCUGGGGGAAAGUCGACUUCUUUCAGUUCUUCGAUUUUGCGGUGGAUUUCUCUCCUAUUAUUAUUUCCUUUCUAUUUAGCGUAGGUAUUAAAAUGCUAGUUUAAAU